This is a long non-coding RNA of Cydia pomonella (codling moth), 499 nucleotides long. RefSeq lists it as uncharacterized. The transcript is spliced from 2 exons. Lineage: Eukaryota; Metazoa; Arthropoda; Insecta; Lepidoptera; Tortricidae. The record is from RefSeq and is a predicted model, not a curated record.
AGAAGUGUAAAAAACACUUUUAAAAAUUAAAUAUAUCUUAGAGCCUUUUCAAAAAGAGUACAAGACAAGAAACACAUGUAGAAUAGGAAAAUGAGAAUACUGCGGGAAUGCUGCUGGGAGUAACCUGCACAUCCAACUCCAGGGAAUCGGGCUGAAUGAACACAACAAGCAUUCGACCCACCUGUUUCUGGCCGGCUGUCCCUGCAUGAUAUAUGCAUCUCCAUCUACCCAUGUAAUGCUUAUAAUAUUAGAUACUUGCUAAAAAAACUUGAAUUUAUUUACAUACUUUGGGUUGAAUUUAUGAGAUAAAACUAUGGAAACAGAUUAAAUCGCAUAUAAUGAAUUUAAAAACAUCCUAAUGUUUCAAACCCUGUACACCAUUUACGAUUUUAUCAGUUUCUAUAGUUUUAUUUCAUGAAUAACUAUAAACAAACAACUUUGUCAGUGGAAAAUGAUGUGAAAUUAAAAUUUCCUAUGGGAACAUAACCCUUCGCACCUA